CGGAGAUCCAAGCGUUAUCUGGAAUCAUUGGGUUUAAAGGGUCCGUAGGCGGUUUGAUAAGUCAGUGGUGAAAGCCCAUCGCUCAACGAUGGAACGGCCUAUUGAUACUGUCAGACUUGAAUUACUGGGAAGUAACUAGAAUAUGUAGUGUAGCGGUGAAAUGCUUAGAUAUUACAUGGAAUACCAAUUGCGAAGGCAGGUUACUACCAGUGGAUUGACGCUGAUGGACGAAAGCGUGGGGAGCGAACAGGAUUAGAUACCCUGGUAGUCCACGCCGUAAACGAUGGAUACUAGCUGUUCGGAGCAAUCUGAGUGGCUAAGCGAAAGUGAUAAGUAUCCCACCUGGGGAGUACGUUCGCAAGAAUG
This 366-nucleotide ribosomal RNA is filed under the name uncultured organism. Its description in RNAcentral is "bacterial SSU rRNA". It matches the Rfam family "Bacterial small subunit ribosomal RNA", at positions 527 to 896 of the family's 1533-position model. The record is from RNAcentral.